GGAGGUAUAGAGGUAUGGGACUGUAGGUGGAGGUAUAGAGGUAUGGGACUGUAGGUGGAGGUAUAGAGGUAUGGGACUGUAGGUGGAGAUAUAGAGGUAUGGGACUGUACGUGGAGGUAUAGAGGUAUGGGACUGUAGGUGGAGGUAUGGGACUGUAGGUGGAGGUAUAGAGGUAUGGGACUGUAGGUGGAGGUAUAGAGGUAUGGGACUGUAGGUGGAGGUAAAGAGGUAUGGGACUGUAGGUGGAGGUAUAGAGGUAUGGGACUGUAGGUGGAGGUAAAGAGGUAUGGGACUGUAGGUGGAGGUAUAGAGGUAUGGGACUGUAGGUGGAGGUAUAGAGGUAUGGGACUGUAGGUGGAGGUAUAGAGGUAUGGGACUGUAGGUGGA
RNAcentral lists this long non-coding RNA (387 nucleotides) under Salmo salar (Atlantic salmon). RNAcentral's name for it is "lncRNA (ENSSSAG00000105232.1)". The record is from RNAcentral. Lineage: Eukaryota; Metazoa; Chordata; Actinopteri; Salmoniformes; Salmonidae.